This is a non-coding RNA of Cucumis melo (muskmelon), 102 nucleotides long. NCBI's taxonomy places the organism in Eukaryota, Viridiplantae, Streptophyta, Magnoliopsida, Cucurbitales, Cucurbitaceae. The record is from Rfam.
GUCCCUUCGGUGACAUCCGAUAAAAUUGGAAUGAUAUAGAAAGUAUUAGCAUGGCCGCUGCGCAAGGAUGACACCCACAAAUCGAAUAUGGUAAAUAUAAUU